RNAcentral lists this ribosomal RNA (501 nucleotides) under uncultured bacterium. RNAcentral describes it as "partial 16S ribosomal RNA". It matches the Rfam family "Bacterial small subunit ribosomal RNA", at positions 30 to 523 of the family's 1533-position model. The record is from RNAcentral.
AUUGAACGCUGGCGGCAGGCUUAACACAUGCAAGUCGAGCGGGGGAAGGUAGCUUGCUACCGGACCUAGCGGCGGACGGGUGAGUAAUGCUUAGGAAUCUGCCUAUUAGUGGGGGACAACAUCUCGAAAGGGAUGCUAAUACCGCAUACGUCCUACGGGAGAAAGCAGGGGAUCUUCGGACCUUGCGCGAAUAGGUGAGCCUAAGUCGGAUUAGCUAGUUGGUGGGGUAAAGGCCUACCAAGGCGACGAUCUGUAGGGGGUCUGAGAGGAUGAUCCGCCAAACUGGGACUGAGACACGGCCCAGACUCCUACGGGAGGUAGCAGUGGGGAAUAUUGGACAAUGGGGGGAACCCUGAUCCAGCCAUGCCGCGUGUGUGAAGAAGGCCUUAUGGUUGUAAAGCACUUUAAGCGGGGAGGAGGCUACUUUAGUUAAUACCUAGAGAUAGUGGACGUUACUCGCAGAAUAAGCACCGGCUAACUCUGUGCCAGCCGCCGCCGUAA